CGUGGGAAACCUGCCCCAUAGUCUGGGAUACCACUUGGAAACAGGUGCUAAUACCGGAUAAGAAAGCAGAUCGCAUGAUCAGCUUUUAAAAGGCGGCGUAAGCUGUCGCUAUGGGAUGGCCCCGCGGUGCAUUAGCUAGUUGGUAAGGUAAAGGCUUACCAAGGCGAUGAUGCAUAGCCGAGUUGAGAGACUGAUCGGCCACAUUGGGACUGAGACACGGCCCAAACUCCUACGGGAGGCAGCAGUA
This 247-nucleotide ribosomal RNA is filed under the name uncultured Lactobacillus sp. RNAcentral's name for it is "partial 16S ribosomal RNA". It matches the Rfam family "Bacterial small subunit ribosomal RNA", at positions 116 to 355 of the family's 1533-position model. Lineage: Bacteria; Bacillati; Bacillota; Bacilli; Lactobacillales; Lactobacillaceae. The record is from RNAcentral.